Molecule: long non-coding RNA, 1459 nt
Filed under: Phasianus colchicus (ring-necked pheasant)
Lineage: Eukaryota; Metazoa; Chordata; Aves; Galliformes; Phasianidae
Description: lncRNA (ENSPCLG00000004903.1)
Source: RNAcentral
AAAUCAUCCUAUUUUUUUAAAAAAUGGAUUUUUUUUUUUAAAUGAGAAUUUUAUGCAAUUCAGAUGUUAGAAUAUUUGCUUUUAAAUGUUUUAAAAUUCAACAGCCCAUAUUGUUGCCGUUCUCUCUGCAACACUCGUUUUCCACCCCAUAAGGUGCUGCUUUGCCAGCGAAACCGACCCCAUACCAGGUCGGGGCCAAAUGCUCACACAGACCCCAAGUAUAGGUGAAGCAAAAUGGCGUUUAUUAAAAUGUAGCAGGCACUUAAAUAUUCUCGUCCCGCUUUGUCUACACCCCUUGCAUACACGCUGUCCUAUUAUGGGACAGCACCUGGCAAGCCCUGAGCAUAGGGAACCUGACCCCGUCACACACCGUCUCCUCGCCACGCCUACUACAUCUCCCCCUCCCUAUGCUCAGUAAUAUCCCGUAACAGCGCGAACGCAAACGCUACAAUUGUUCCCGAUACCUGUGAUACUCUAUACUCUAUGCAUUGGUCCAUAAGCUACUACAUAAUCCUUAGCAAGCAAUUCUGAAAGCACAUAAUCACACACGGCAGAAUAGCGGCAAUACACACAAUUACUAAGAGUGCUAAUACUAUGUCCUUAACGAUCUUCGCAAUCCAACUCCCGAAGUUGCCAAACGUCUUCUUGAACCAGUCUCCGAUGGGGUCGUCGUCCACCUGGAUCCUCUCCGUAUGGUCUCGCAGGGCUUUCAGCGCUUUAUGGAUGGAUACGCUGUGGUCGCUAAGAUUGAAGCAACACAUUCCUUCUAGGUCCUCUAACAUCGCAUUCAAUACUAAUGUUGUUAAAUUCGCCUGCUUAACUGACCAACAUGCUAGGCGUUCUAUCUGAGCCAAGCUCUGUGCUGCAGCAACCCCAGGGUCGUUCAGAGAUUUUAUCAAACAUGCCGUUUGGCUAGCUAGAUCGGUGUUGUUACGGCAGCUGGAAUGGUUUGUAGUGUACCUCGCAAAGGCUUCUACCGUGUAUUGAGGGAUGCCCAUUAGGCAAGUGCAAAAAAGUGAGGUUGCCGAUUGCAAACUAAAGCAAAAGUUGUUUUGGCUCGUCUUAUUUACCUAAGUAACCCGUAAAUUCCCUGACAGUGACAAAAGGUGAAUUCCCUCGCUCCCUGUGAUAAAGCAAUAACCACCACACACACUAAACAUAGCAUUUGCCUGUUAGAAACGCGUUUUCUCGUUGGCAGCAACGGUUGAGUUUCCUCCACGCUUCUCCCGGCCUUCUUUUGGGGUUCCUGGGCUGUCUCCUUCUUCGGCGUUCACAGGAGCCAUACCUGCAAAACUCAGAGUCCCUCGUUACUGUUCUCUUUCAUCAGAUCUGGUUUGACCUUUCUCGCCGGGAUCCACAUGACACUUCCCGUAUUGACAUGUUUUACGGGACGAGGGGAAUGUCUUACUGGCUCCCAUAUUCCUGCCUAUGUGUCAAGAAUCAUUUAUAAAAUUAUUUU